This 329-nucleotide ribosomal RNA is filed under the name uncultured eukaryote. Its description in RNAcentral is "partial 18S ribosomal RNA". It matches the Rfam family "Eukaryotic small subunit ribosomal RNA", at positions 1470 to 1796 of the family's 1831-position model. The record is from RNAcentral.
CCCUUAGAUGUUCUGGGCCGCACGCGCGCUACACUGAUGCAUUCAACGAGUCUAGAACCUGCUCUGAUAGGGGUGGGUAAUCUUUUGAAUGUGCAUCGUGAUUGGGAUAGAUGAUUGCAAUUUUUCAUCUUCAACGAGGAAUGCCUAGUAAACGCAAGUCAUCAGCUUGCAUUGAUUACGCCCCUGCCCUUUGUACACACCGCCCGUCGCUCCUACCGAUUGAAUGAUCCGAUGAAUAUCAUGGAUUGAGGAUGCAAGUAGGUUCGCCUAUCUUCAUCUUCGAGAAGUGAAGUAAAUCUUAUCAUUUAGAGGAAGGAGAAGUCGUAACA